This is a non-coding RNA of Oncorhynchus mykiss (rainbow trout), 1894 nucleotides long. The record is from RefSeq and is a predicted model, not a curated record. NCBI's taxonomy places the organism in Eukaryota, Metazoa, Chordata, Actinopteri, Salmoniformes, Salmonidae.
AAGCGCUUUCAAGUUGGAUGGGGAACAUUAGUCAACAGCAAUUUCAAAGGCCACAGAUUCUCAAUUGGAUUCAGGUCUCGCCUUUCUUCAGCAAUGGCUUAUUUCUCUCGCCGGGCUUCCAUAAAGCCCAGCUUUGUGGAAUGUACAGGUGGUAGUUGUCCCAAGGCCGGUUUCCCCCCCGUCUCAGCUGUGGAUCUCUCCAGCUCUUUCACAGUUACCAUUGGCCUCUUGGUUGCUUCUCGGUCUAAUACCUUCCUUACCCGGGUCACUGAGUUUUGGUGGACGGCCUUCUUUAGUCAGAAGUAGCCCUUGUGCCAUAUUCUUUCCAUUUUUAUAUUUUUUAUAAUGGAUUUAACAGUGAGUUCUUGACCUACUGAUGGCGUGGCUGCUAUGACAACGGGCUGUUCAGACUGUACUCAGGCCUGUACUGACGUGUGUGGCUGUAGCUGUAGGGUUCCCUAUAAAGUGCAUAGGGCCCAGGUCAAACGUUGUGCAUUGAGUUCAACACAGUGAUCAUUUUCAGAUACUUUCUGUUUUCCUUCUCCUAUCCAGAUUCAACCUUGAAGCAUAAUUAAUAUACCCAGUAUAUGAUAGACAUCCUCAAUGAAUCCUGAGCAUGAAUUCAUUAGUUGUAAUUACAGAUUUCAUAUGGGGAGAGGCCACAGAACAGGGGAUGAGGAGGAGGAGUAGGAAGGCUCCACAGAACAGGGGAUGAGGAGGAGGAGUAGGAAGGUUCCACAGAACAGGGGAUGAGGAGGAAGAGUAGGAAGGUUCCACAGAACAGGGGAUGAGGAGGAAGAGUAGGAAGGUUCCACAGAACAGGGGAUGAGGAGGAGUAGGAAGGCUCCACAGAACAGGGUCAAUCAAAUGUAUCCUGCAUCUUUCUCGCUCUCUCUCUCCCUCCCUCUCUCUCCCUCUCUCUCGUAACAACCAUGUAAAUUCAAGUAAUUGAACAAUCAGGUGCUCUCUCUCUCAGUAAAGUAGAGGAGUAAUCUGCCAGAGGCUGAGAAUUUCAAAUGAUCUUAACCAGACACUUAAUUCAAUUCCUACAGCUUUAUGAACAAAAUAAGUGGUGUGUUUAAUUCAAAUAAUCAGCACAAGGUACGAAGUCUAUCAGAGUAUGGGCACUGGUCAAAACAAGUAGUGAAGUCAGAGCUUGAUUACAACCAAACAGUGUUUGUUUGACUCCCUCAGUUAUAUCUUGACCAACAAAAAAAAGAAACGUCCGUUUUUCAGGACCCUUGUUUUUCAAAGAUAAUACCCUUAUUGGCCUUCUUGCAACACCUGAGUUAAGAAAAGAUUUACUAAAUAAACUAAUGCAACAUAUUGAAUGCCAACCACCAUUAAACCCACCGAAGAAGAAGAAGUAGUCCUGUUGCGUUUUGAUAGUCAGGGAACAGGAAGUUCCGGGCAGGCUUCGGCCACAAUUGUUCUCUGAAGACAGUAGCGGUUGUGUCCGUUUCAGAAGUAUUAACUAAAGGCCUGUGCUUUUUUGACAGCAUCUUCACUAAAAGAGGCCUAUGGCAUAACCCCUCAAGUGGAGUCUGGGUUUUUAACUCAACAGCCCUUCACUGACAUGGAGACCAACUCAGAUUAAGUCUGAGGCCGGUAACAUCAACAGUGAGGACAAACCCAGCCUGCCUCUCCCCUUCCACACUGAGUCCAAACCUACAGUCACUGGGUCCUGAUUGUGACAGUGGAGCCCAGUUUGCACUGCAGGAUCCAGAGAUGGCAUCAGUGAAGCUGGAAGACUGCAGUCAAACACUGGAGCUGAAUGUCAACAUUAAAGAUGAAGAAGAGGAGGAGGAGAUUGGUACAUCUGUUAGUCAUGGAGACCAUGUUGAGACAUUCUCUACAUCUAGAGAGCAACAGCAGGAAGAUCACAGAGCUAAGA